Molecule: ribosomal RNA, 520 nt
Filed under: uncultured Glomeraceae
Lineage: Eukaryota; Fungi; Glomeromycota; Glomeromycetes; Glomerales; Glomeraceae
Description: SSU rRNA
Rfam family: Eukaryotic small subunit ribosomal RNA
Source: RNAcentral
AGCAGCCGCGGUAAUUCUAGCUCCAAUAGCGUAUAUUAAAGUUGUUGCAGUUAAAAAGCUCGUAGUUGAAUUUCGGGACUAAUAUGUCGGUCGUGCCUCGGUACGAACUGGUUUAUUGGUUUCUCCUUUCUGAAGAACCAUGAUGUCAUUUAUUUGGUGUCGUGGGGAAUCAGGACUGUUACUUUGAAAAAAUUAGAGUGUUUAAAGCAGGCUCACGCUUGAAUACAUUAGCAUGGAAUAAUGAAAUAGGACGUUUGAUUCUAUUUUGUUGGUUUCUAGGAUCGACGUAAUGAUUAAUAGGGAUAGUUGGGGGCAUUAGUAUUCAAUUGUCAGAGGUGAAAUUCUUGGAUUUAUUGAAGACUAACUACUGCGAAAGCAUUUGCCAAGGAUGUUUUCAUUAAUCAAGAACGAAAGUUAGGGGAUCGAAGACGAUCAGAUACCGUCGUAGUCUUAACCAUAAACUAUGCCGACUAGGGAUCGGAUGAUGUUAAUUUUUUAAUGACUCAUUCGGCGCCUUACG